CCUGAUGCUAUCGGAUUGAUACUAAGCCAUGCGAGUCAUCGCAGCAAUGCAAGGCAGACGGCUCAGUAACGCGUAGUCAACCUAACCUAUGGACGGGAAUAACCUCGGGAAACUGAGAAUAAUGCCCGAUAGAACACUAUACCUGGAAUGGUUUGUGUUCCAAAUGAUUUAUCGCCGUAGGAUGGGACUGCGGCCUAUCAGUUUGUUGGUGAGGUAAUGGCCCACCAAGACUAUUACAGGUACGGGCUCUGAGAGGAGUAGCCCGGAGAUGGGUACUGAGACACGGACCCAGGCCCUAUGGGGCGCAGCAGGCGAGAAAACUUUGCAAUGUGCGAAAGCACGACAAGGUUAAUCCGAGUGGUUUCUGCUAAAGGAACCUUUUGUUAGUCCUAGAAACACUAACGAAUAAGGGGUGGGCAAGUUCUGGUGUCAGCCGCCGCGGUAAAACCAGCACCUCAAGUGGUCAGGAUGAUUAUUGGGCCUAAAGCAUCCGUAGCCGGCUCUGUAAGUUUUCGGUUAAAUCUGUACGCUCAACGUACAGGCUGCCGGGAAUACUGCAGAGCUAGGGAGUGGGAGAGGUAGACGGUACUCGGGAGGAAGUGGUAAAAUGCUUUGAUCUCUCGAUGACCACCUGUGGCGAAGGCGGUCUACCAGAACACGUCCGACGGUGAGGGAUGAAAGCUGGGGGAGCAAACCGGAUUAGAUACCCGGGUAGUCCCAGCUGUAAACUAUGCAAACUCAGUGAUGCAUUGGCUUGUGGCCAAUGCAGUAUUGCAGGGAAGCCGUUAAGUUUGCCGCCUGGGAAGUACGUACGCAAGUAUGAAACUUAAAGGAAUUGGCGGGGGAGCACCACAAGGGGUGAAGCCUGCGGUUC
This 874-nucleotide ribosomal RNA is filed under the name uncultured crenarchaeote. RNAcentral's name for it is "bacterial SSU rRNA". It matches the Rfam family "Archaeal small subunit ribosomal RNA", at positions 21 to 903 of the family's 1478-position model. The record is from RNAcentral. Lineage: Archaea; Thermoproteati; Thermoproteota.